Molecule: non-coding RNA, 109 nt
Organism: Acanthosepion pharaonis
Lineage: Eukaryota; Metazoa; Mollusca; Cephalopoda; Sepiida; Sepiidae
Source: the annotation of a GenBank genome assembly
UUACGACCAUAUCACGCUGUAACACCGAUUUUCGUGCGAUCACCGAAGUUAAGCAACAUUGAGCGUCGUCAGUACCUAGAUGGGUGACUGCAUGGGGUUAGCAGGUGCU